GUCAUCACUGUGCGUCACAUUGGCGACGUCGGCGCUCGAGCUGCACUCGGCAGGGCUCUUGGCAGCGCCCUGGGCUCUGAGGUUGUCUUGGCAACCCCGGAUCAGAUUUCGGCCGCCAGCGUCCACAGCCUAAGGCUUUUGGUGACUAAUUUAUGCUCCUUGAAACAAGUACCAGGCAGAACCUGGACUAAAGAUGGAGUCUCACUCUGUGGCCCAGGCUGGAGUACACUGGCAUGAUCUUGGCUUACUGCAACCUCUCCCUCCUGGUUCAAAUGAUUCUCCUGCCUCAGCCUCCCGAGUAGCUGGGAUUACAGGUGUGCACUACCAUGCCUGGCUAAUUUUUGUAUUUUUAGUAGAGAUCAGGUUUCACCAUGUUGGCCAGGCUGGUCCAAACUCCUGACCUCAAGUGAUCCACCUGCCUCGGUCUCCCAAAGUGCUGGGAUUACAGGUGUGAGGCUCUGCGCCCGGCCGAGAACAAUAAAAUCUUAACCCUCAAUGUCUGCACUGGGUGUGCAGAGUGAGUGACUUCCAAAAAGUCAUAAAUACGCUUUAAAUCAUUCAUUUACUCAUUCUGUAAACAUGUAUUGAAUACCCUUUAUGUGCCAUAAGGAAUACAGGAAAAAAAAAAAAAAAACCUUUGUUUUUGUUCUCAAGACAACAACAAACCAAAGUGCUGUAGGUGCUAUGGUAGAAAUAUCCACAUGUUGCUUGAAACACAAGGAACACACGUCUAACGUGGGACCCAGCAUUGGAAACCCAGUCCAAAUCUUGCUGGGUGAGGUUGUAGGGAUUCUUCAGUCAUUGACUGAUUCAACAAAGAUUUACUGAACACUUACAAUGUGCCAGGCUGUUAUCUGGGCACUGAAGACUCAGUCUUAUAAAUGAAGUAGCCAGAUUCACAGUUCUUAUGGAGCUUGUGUUUGAGUUGUGGUGUGGGGAGGGAGCUAAGGCAGAGGAUGCAGAAGAGACAGACUGUAUACCAGUCAGCCAAUAAGCAAGCCAUUGAUUCCAUGUGUUUUACUGAGUGUCUAAUAUGUGUCAGGCAGAGUGUUGCAUGCUGGUAUUAUAAAGACAAAUGAGACACAGCCCCUGUCCCUGAGGGGUUAGAUAAAAAGGAAAGAGCCUGUAGGAAGGCCUAGUGCAAAGAAUGGUGCUGUGUUUGGGGAAAAUCAAGCUGUGUAGUUGAGCUGGGGCAUAGGGUGUUGUGAGGGAGGGGGCUCCCUCUUUCAGUGAUGAAAUGCACCCUUUCCACAACUUGGGAAAGAAUCCUUCCUGGAAACUUCACAGGAACCCUCUCAAAGUACUUAUCGAUGUAGACAUUUGAAACACACUGUAGGUCCUGGGUGUCUAUAAAAUAGCAUCAUCCAGCCAAUCAUCUCUCCCCACAUUGCUGAACUGAGGACAUGUGAACUGGUAUCUCUCGGUGGUUCAGAACAGGGGCCACCACCUGUGUAGUAAAGAAAGUGUUUUUGGAACACAGUCAUGGCCAUUCAUUUAAAUAUUAUCUAUGACUGCUCUGGUGCUACAAUGGCAGAGGCGAGUAAUUAUGACAAAGACCACGUAGCCCAAAAGCCUAUCUGGGCCUGUAAGAAAAAGCUGCCAACCCCUGGUCUAGGAGUUCUGCUUACCUGAAAUACAAACCAAUAAUGAGUUUCUGACACACCAAGUUCAAUUCCCUCCCUCCCUUCCUUCCUUCCUUUUUCCUUUUCUUCCUUCCCUUCCUCCCUUCCUCCUCCCUUCCUCCCUUCCCCCUUGUCACUCUCUCUCUCCUUCUCACUCUCUCUCUCUCUUCCUUCCUUGCUUUCUUACCUAA
Long non-coding RNA from Pongo pygmaeus (Bornean orangutan), 1813 nucleotides. RefSeq lists it as uncharacterized. The transcript is spliced from 3 exons. The record is from RefSeq and is a predicted model, not a curated record. Lineage: Eukaryota; Metazoa; Chordata; Mammalia; Primates; Hominidae.